This 72-nucleotide transfer RNA is filed under the name Crassvirales sp. RNAcentral's name for it is "tRNA-Glu". It matches the Rfam family "tRNA". Rfam says of the family: Transfer RNA (tRNA) molecules are approximately 80 nucleotides in length. Their secondary structure includes four short double-helical elements and three loops (D, anti-codon, and T loops). Lineage: Duplodnaviria; Heunggongvirae; Uroviricota; Caudoviricetes; Crassvirales. The record is from RNAcentral.
GCUGAGUUCAUCUAGUGGUUAGGAUAGUAGAUUUUCGAUCUAUUCACAGGGAUUCAAAUCCCCUACUCAGUA